AGGACUUAGCCCACAUGUGAAC
RNAcentral lists this microRNA (22 nucleotides) under Oryzias latipes (Japanese medaka). RNAcentral's name for it is "ola-miR-27c-5p". Its record names the gene ola-miR-27c-5p. The record is from miRBase by way of RNAcentral. Lineage: Eukaryota; Metazoa; Chordata; Actinopteri; Beloniformes; Adrianichthyidae.